RNAcentral lists this ribosomal RNA (253 nucleotides) under uncultured bacterium. RNAcentral's name for it is "partial 16S ribosomal RNA". It matches the Rfam family "Bacterial small subunit ribosomal RNA", at positions 524 to 776 of the family's 1533-position model. The record is from RNAcentral.
UACGUAGGGCGCAAGCGUUGUCCGGAAUUAUUGGGCGUAAAGAGCUCGUAGGCGGCUUGUCAAGUCGGGUGUGAAAGCCCGGGGCUUAACCCCGGGUCUGCAUUCGAUACGGGCAGGCUAGAGUGUGGUAGGGGAGAUCGGAAUUCCCGGUGUAGCGGUGAAAUGCGCAGAUAUCGGGAGGAACACCGGUGGUGAAGGCGGUUCUCUGGGCCUUACCUGACGCUGAGGAGCGAAAGCGUGGGGAGCGAACAGG